RNAcentral lists this ribosomal RNA (274 nucleotides) under uncultured bacterium. Its description in RNAcentral is "partial 16S ribosomal RNA". It matches the Rfam family "Bacterial small subunit ribosomal RNA", at positions 523 to 796 of the family's 1533-position model. The record is from RNAcentral.
AUACGGAGGGUGCAAGCGUUAUCCGGAAUCAUUGGGUUUAAAGGGUCCGUAGGCGGGCGAUUAAGUCAGAGGUGAAAUCCCACAGCUCAACUGUGGAACUGCCUUUGAUACUGGUUGUCUUGAGUUACAGUGAAGUAGAUAGAAUGUGUAGUGUAGCGGUGAAAUGCAUAGAUAUUUCACAGAAUACCGAUUGCGAAGGCAGUCUACUAACUGUAUACUGACGCUCAUGGACGAAAGCGUGGGGAGCGAACAGAAUUAGAAACCCUAGUAGUCC